GAAAAACAGCAUCAUUGAAGGUGAAAAUCCUGUAAAUGAUAUGGACUACCAGUGCAUUUGUGAUACGGUUUCUAAGAGUCGAGUUGUUUGGGAAUGCAGCUCAAAGUGGGUGGUAAAUUCCAUCUAAGGCUAAAUAUAAGUGAGAGACCGAUAGCAUACAAGUACCGUGAGGGAAAGAUGAAAAGAACUUUGAAAAUAGAGUUAACAGUACGUGAAAUUGCUGAAAGGGAAACGUUUGAAGUUAGUAUUGUAUUCGUUGGAUCAGCUUCGCAAGAGGUCUAUUCCGAUGAUAAGCAAGUCAACAUCAGUCUAUGAGUGUUGGAAAAGAGGCUCGAGAAUGUAGCAAUUUAAUUGUGUUAUAGCUUGGGACUUUGACUACAACGCUCUUGAUUGAGGAACGCGUAGUAAGCUUUGAGCGGGUUCGAAAGAGCCUCCUUACUAUGGAUGUUGGUGAAAUAACUUUAAGCGACCCGUCUUGAAACACGGACCAAGGAGUCUAACAUGCUUGCGAGUAUUAGGGCGUUGAAACCCGAAUGCGUAAUGAAAGUGAUUUCAGAUGUGAUCCGCAAGGUGCAACAUCGGCCGGUCCUGAUUAUUUAUAUGACGGUACUGAGCAAGAGCAAGUAUGUUAGGACCCGAAAGAUGGUGAACUAUGCCUGGAUAGGGUGAAGUCAGAGGAAACUCUGAUGGAAGCUCGUAGCGGUUCUGACGUGCAAAUCGAUCGUAGAAUCUGGGUA
RNAcentral lists this ribosomal RNA (737 nucleotides) under Melampsora medusae f. sp. tremuloides. RNAcentral describes it as "eukaryotic LSU rRNA". It matches the Rfam family "Eukaryotic large subunit ribosomal RNA", at positions 192 to 917 of the family's 3401-position model. The record is from RNAcentral. Lineage: Eukaryota; Fungi; Basidiomycota; Pucciniomycetes; Pucciniales; Melampsoraceae.